GAUGAAGAACGUAGCGAAAUGCGAUAAGUAAUGUGAAUUGCAGAAUUCAGUGAAUCAUCGAAUCUUUGAACGCACAUUGCGCCCGCCAGUAUUCUGGCGGGCAUGUCUGUCCGAGCGUCAUUUCAACCAUCAAGCCCCGGGCUUGUGUUGGGGACCUGCGUCCGACGCAGGCCCUGAAAACCAGUGGCGGGCUCGCUGUCCACACCGAGCGUAGUAACUAACCUCGCUAUGGAGUGGCGCGGGCGCCUGCCGUAAAACCCCCAAUUUCACAAGGUUGACCUCGGAUCAGGUAGGAAUACCCGCUGAACUUAAGCAUAUCAAUAAGCGGAGGA
This 332-nucleotide unclassified non-coding RNA is filed under the name soil metagenome. Its description in RNAcentral is "partial contains 5.8S ribosomal RNA, internal transcribed spacer 2, and large subunit ribosomal RNA". The stretch from base 1 to 120 matches the Rfam family "5.8S ribosomal RNA", at positions 35 to 154 of the family's 154-position model. The record is from RNAcentral.